RNAcentral lists this ribosomal RNA (429 nucleotides) under uncultured bacterium. RNAcentral describes it as "bacterial SSU rRNA". It matches the Rfam family "Bacterial small subunit ribosomal RNA", at positions 355 to 776 of the family's 1533-position model. The record is from RNAcentral.
UGGGGAAUUUUGGACAAUGGGGGCAACCCUGAUCCAGCCAUUCCGCGUGAGUGAAGAAGGCCUUCGGGUUGUAAAGCUCUUUUGUCCGGAACGAAACGGUGCUCGUGAAUAUCGAGCGCUACUGACGGUACCGGAAGAAUAAGCACCGGCUAACUACGUGCCAGCAGCCGCGGUAAUACGUAGGGUGCGAGCGUUAAUCGGAAUUACUGGGCGUAAAGCGUGCGCAGGCGGUUUUGUAAGCCAGAUGUGAAAUCCCCGGGCUCAACCUGGGAAUGGCAUUUGGGACUGCAAGGCUGGAGUUUGGCAGAGGAGACUGGAAUUCCCGGUGUAGCAGUGAAAUGCGUAGAUAUCGGGAGGAAUACCGAUGGCGAAGGCAGGUCUCUGGGCUAUAACUGACGCUCAUGCACGAAAGCGUGGGGAGCAAACAGG